CACACAGGAAUCAAGCUCUGCGUUGAUUUAUUCCUAUAAAACAGUGUGGGACACACUCAGCACCGGGUAUGAUACACACAAUCACCGUCACAGUCCUGCGGCCCAACAAACACAUUUUGGAGGGAAACUUUAUACAAACUUAAUAAACGUAACAAAUUAACUUUAACCAACACCAAAGUUUUUUUUAAAAACACUUACACAGUUAACAUUAUAUUUUUAUGCAAAACAAAAGCUGUGAGAACUAUUUUUAACAAUAUAAACAUUAUUAAAAGUGAGAGGUAGCUUUAGCGCGCAUCUUACCAGCAGCUCAGUUAGGCAGCUUCUGCCUGGCUGCUGCAGCCAUAGACAUAAUAUAAGGGUAGACGCCGCAUUGGCCGCUCCGGCGCAGGAAAUAUGGCGGCCAUCUUAGAGCGGUAUACCCUCGUACUUUGCUGAACCAAAACAACAGAAGAUGCCUCAGUUCUGCUCGGCUUAUUCGUGUUUAAAUCUACGAACUGUUGAUGUCAGGGACCGGGGGAUAACUUUUCACAAGUUUCCAAAAGAUAAAGAGAGGAGGAAGAGGUGGGAAAUAGCUUUGAGGAGGGAUGGAUUCACUGCAAGUGAUUCAUCUGUACUAUGCAGUGAGCAUUU
Xiphophorus hellerii (green swordtail) is the source of this 630-nucleotide long non-coding RNA. RefSeq lists it as uncharacterized. The record is from RefSeq and is a predicted model, not a curated record. Lineage: Eukaryota; Metazoa; Chordata; Actinopteri; Cyprinodontiformes; Poeciliidae. The transcript has 3 exons.